Molecule: non-coding RNA, 125 nt
Organism: Hordeum vulgare subsp. vulgare (domesticated barley)
Lineage: Eukaryota; Viridiplantae; Streptophyta; Magnoliopsida; Poales; Poaceae
Source: Rfam
UAUGUACUCUCUCCGUCCGGAAUUACUUGUCGCAUUAAUUUAUAAAAAUGGAUGUAUCUAAAAUUAAAGUACAUCUAGAUGCACUCAUUUAUAUGACAAGUAUUUUCUAAUGGAGGGAGUAAUAU